RNAcentral lists this ribosomal RNA (497 nucleotides) under uncultured bacterium. RNAcentral describes it as "bacterial SSU rRNA". It matches the Rfam family "Bacterial small subunit ribosomal RNA", at positions 15 to 507 of the family's 1533-position model. The record is from RNAcentral.
GAUCAUGGCUCAGAUUGAACGCUGGCGGCAUGCUUUACACAUGCAAGUCGAACGGUAACAGGGAGCUUGCUCCGCUGACGAGUGGCGAACGGGUGAGUAAUGCAUCGGAACGUACCCAGUCGUGGGGGAUAACGUAGCGAAAGUUACGCUAAUACCGCAUACGUCCUGAGGGAGAAAGCGGGGGACCGAAAGGCCUCGCGCGAUUGGAGCGGCCGAUGUCGGAUUAGCUAGUUGGUAGGGUAAAGGCCUACCAAGGCGACGAUCCGUAGCGGGUCUGAGAGGAUGAUCCGCCACACUGGGACUGAGACACGGCCCAGACUCCUACGGGAGGCAGCAGUGGGGAAUUUUGGACAAUGGGCGCAAGCCUGAUCCAGCCAUGCCGCGUGAGUGAAGAAGGCCUUCGGGUUGUAAAGCUCUUUCAGGUGGAAAGAAAACGCAUGGGUCAAUACCCUGUGUGGAUGACGGUACCAUCAGAAGAAGCACCGGCUAACUACGUG